Chrysochloris asiatica (Cape golden mole) is the source of this 569-nucleotide RNA transcript. It is a transcript of the gene named nucleolar protein interacting with the FHA domain of MKI67 pseudogene, with no coding region annotated. The transcript has a single exon. NCBI's taxonomy places the organism in Eukaryota, Metazoa, Chordata, Mammalia, Afrosoricida, Chrysochloridae. The record is from RefSeq and is a predicted model, not a curated record.
AUGGAUUUUUCUGGCCCUGCUAUGCCUCUCUUGUCGCUGAACCCAGAGUAACAGGCCAAAUUUCAGAAGCAGGUGGCACAGGCCCGCCGGUGCACACCCAGCAAGAAAAAUUUACUCCUGGAGUAGUAUAUGUGGGCCACUUACCCCGAGGCCUUUUUGAACCCCAAUUGAAGGCGUAUUUCUCCCAGUUUGGUACUGUUACACGACUCAGAUUGUCCAGAAGUAAAAAGUCUGGAAAGAGUAAAGACUAUGCCUUUGUGGAGUUUGAGUCUGAUGAUGUUGCCAAGAUAGUUGCUGAAACAAUGAACAACUACCUUUUUGGUGAAAGACUCUUGAAAUGCGAUUUGAUGCCAUCUGAGAAAGUACAUGAAAAACUUUUCAAAGACUGGGAUGUUCCCUUUAAAAAGCCAUCAAAUCCAGCAGUGAAACGGUAUAAUAAGAAACGGACAACUGCAGAAAAGCUACGGAUGGAGAAGCGAUUUAAGAACAAAGAAAAAUUACUCAGGAAGAAGAUAGCUAAAAAAGGAAUAGUGUAUGAUUUUCCUCCAUUGAUUUUACCAAAAAAGAAA